RNAcentral lists this ribosomal RNA (779 nucleotides) under bacterium. RNAcentral describes it as "bacterial SSU rRNA". It matches the Rfam family "Bacterial small subunit ribosomal RNA", at positions 65 to 852 of the family's 1533-position model. The record is from RNAcentral.
AACGAUGAAGCCGGGGCUUGCUCUGGUGGAUUAGUGGCGAACGGGUGAGUAACACGUGAGCAACCUGCCCUGGACUCUGGGAUAAGCGCUGGAAACGGCGUCUAAUACUGGAUACGAGACGUGGCCGCAUGGUCAACGUUUGGAAAGAUUUUUCGGUCUGGGAUGGGCUCGCGGCCUAUCAGCUUGUUGGUGAGGUAAUGGCUCACCAAGGCGUCGACGGGUAGCCGGCCUGAGAGGGUGACCGGCCACACUGGGACUGAGACACGGCCCAGACUCCUACGGGAGGCAGCAGUGGGGAAUAUUGCACAAUGGGCGGAAGCCUGAUGCAGCAACGCCGCGUGAGGGAUGACGGCCUUCGGGUUGUAAACCUCUUUUAGCAGGGAAGAAGCGUGAGUGACGGUACCUGCAGAAAAAGCGCCGGCUAACUACGUGCCAGCAGCCGCGGUAAUACGUAGGGCGCAAGCGUUAUCCGGAAUUAUUGGGCGUAAAGAGCUCGUAGGCGGUUUGUCGCGUCUGCUGUGAAAUCCCGAGGCUCAACCUCGGGCCUGCAGUGGGUACGGGCAGACUAGAGUGCGGUAGGGGAGAUUGGAAUUCCUGGUGUAGCGGUGGAAUGCGCAGAUAUCAGGAGGAACACCGAUGGCGAAGGCAGAUCUCUGGGCCGUAACUGACGCUGAGGAGCGAAAGGGUGGGGAGCAAACAGGCUUAGAUACCCUGGUAGUCCACCCCGUAAACGUUGGGAACUAGUUGUGGGGUCCUUUCCACGGAUUCCGUGACGCAGC